GUCCCUGUAGCGCAACGGAGAGCGCGUUGGACUUCUAAUCCAAAGAUCGUGGUUUCGAAUCCCACUUAGGAUG
RNAcentral lists this transfer RNA (73 nucleotides) under Trichonephila inaurata madagascariensis. It matches the Rfam family "tRNA". From Rfam's summary of the family: Transfer RNA (tRNA) molecules are approximately 80 nucleotides in length. Their secondary structure includes four short double-helical elements and three loops (D, anti-codon, and T loops). Further hydrogen bonds mediate the characteristic L-shaped molecular structure. tRNAs have two regions of fundamental functional importance: the anti-codon, which is responsible for specific mRNA codon recognition, and the 3' end, to which the tRNAs corresponding amino acid is attached (by aminoacyl-tRNA synthetases). tRNAs cope with the degeneracy of the genetic code in two manners: having more than one tRNA (with a specific anti-codon) for a particular amino acid; and 'wobble' base-pairing, i.e. permitting non-standard base-pairing at the 3rd anti-codon position. Lineage: Eukaryota; Metazoa; Arthropoda; Arachnida; Araneae; Nephilidae. The record is from Rfam by way of RNAcentral.